AUGCACCUCGGGCUGCAGGGGAAUCUCCUCUCUUGCACCUGGAACACCUCCUGUCCUCCUCCUUCCCUGACCUUGCUGUCUGCAGGGCUGCUCCUCCCAACAGGCUCUCGUUCCUCUCUCCAGCUGCUGCUGCUGUUGUGCAGUAAGUCCUUUCUGCUUCUUAAAUACAUUAUCACGGAGGUGCCACCGGUGUCGUCGGGAGUUCAGCCUCGGCCAGCAGCGGGUCUGGCUGACUCUGCCCAACGUGAGGGUAGCUCCUGGUGUCUCCUCUCAGAAGCCAACCUUGCUCUGGAAGUCCAAUCCAGCCUUCAAAAGAAGGCAUCUGGAUUCCUUGCAGCUCUGGUGAGGAUGCCUCGUGCAUGCAGAGCGAUGGUGGUGUUGUGCUACAGCAGCACGUGGAGAACCUGCCCGGCACUGCACUGCAUGCAGUCCUUUGUCCCAAAGGCAGGCUUGCUAGCUGGUGCUAAUUCACUCACUGAGACAGGUUCAGAGUGCAACAUGCUGUUAUAUCCAUACGUUUCAAAUUGCCAAGCUCAUUGCUUCUGCUGCCUAGUGAUAUUUUGCUAUUCACCUCUAGAGUCUGAACAAUGAAAUGUGAUGUUGUUUGCACUCCGGGCUACUUCAAAUACACAAAAUGCAUGCUUGGUCGGUUGGGAUUGGGAUUUUGUGUACUUUAUGAAGAGUUUGAAGGGAAAUCUGCUCAGACGUUGGAUGGCCUCCCUCUAGUGGCUGCUACUGUGGAACUAAAACAGGGCUGUGAGCUACCUACCCAAGGUUGUGCUUGCAUCAACCACUGUAUGCCAUGAAAGUGAGUAAAUUUGGGAAGAAGUCUUAUGCCACAUCAAAAUAUAAAUCAGAAACACUGUGUUAUUGCCAGAGCUUAGUUACUGCUUUUUCAGUCCUGAAAAUACUUAUCUUCCCCACUUUCCCUCUCCCCCUCUGUGUCCUUACAUAGGACGAUCUCAGGACACUGGCAAACCAAAAUCUGCAUGGGAAAAAAUUUUAAGUUAUUUUUUUUUCCCAGUUCAGUUAGUCAGCCAGGUAGGACAAAUAUGCAAGCCCCUGUUUUCCAGACAUGGACUCAUGUGCCUGAAAUCCUAUCAGAUUUUUUCAACCAGGCACAUUGAUCUAGUAAAAGAUGCUAUUUACUAUUACAAACCUUGUCCCAACAGAUAUUUAAAGAACAGGUAUGAUCUGGGUAAUGCAGCAUCUUUAAUCCAUUUCCAGUAAUUUUCAGUUAUUCUCUGUAGUAAAUAUCAGUAUCUUUGACAAAAUCUUAUCUGUAUGUAUAUCCAGCAGUUGUAUUCCUGUGUUUAAAAUCUUGCUAAUUAUGAUCCAUUACACUUAUCUUUUAGACACAAAAAGUGCCAGGAAUGCAUGGCUGUGUUUGUGUUUUUGUAGAAAAAGAUAGCAAUGACAGGGUAUCAAGACAAAAGUUGGAGCUAGAAAACAUCUCAUUAAAAAUGACAAAAAUGGAAAGCUCCUACAGCUGCAAGAGGAGCUUUGCCCUGGUGUCUCCUUUUGGAUCUCUCAUACUUUGGCCUCCAAGUGUUAAGUGAUUUGCAGACAGUGUGAGACAACAAAGCUGCAUUUAUAGAAUACCCCUAAAAAUCCUGUCUCAUGAGUUUAUGCUCUAACACAGCAGAAAUUAAUGUUGCUACUGCUAUUCGCUUGACUGCUUUUAGUGAUGUUGUAGGCUGGAGUGUUGUCACCUGAAAAUACCUGUUGAAUUUUCUCUGUCAGCAAAGAGAAAACAACUUAAGUGUGUAUUUUUACUCACACUAGAUUUCCCACAAAAUAAUUCUGUCUGCAAUUUGUGUAUUUUCACUGGUUUCAGUAUAGUUGUGUUGAUCUGAAAUUGCUGUCAUUGAAGCUGACUGAAUUUCUCAUUUUUUUUCUCAUCAAUACACAUGACUAUAUUAUGGAUUAAGGAUUCUUGAAAUAAAAUAUUUGUUACUAGCACAGGAAGAAAUAAUGGAGAAAAAUGCUCACAUUACCAUGACAACCUUCAUGGCUCUCUUCCAUAUCAAUCCACUUCACUGCUUCCACCUUCCCAUCAUGUGUUGGCCAUGGAUCCUGGGACAUCUGAAACUAGGUAACAGAAAAUCAAAUAGUUAGUCCUUUUAAGAGCUUUGAGCUCAGGUUCAUCUCCACUCUCUGGGACCUUUCUCCGAAGAACUGGGGUAAAAGGCUUUGGAAUACACAUCAACAGAUGUCUGGCUGCUAACAUGGUUGUCAAGUUUCUUCACUGAGAGAAGCUUUCAUGACACAGACAAGAUGUCAACCCAAAAGACCUAAAGAUUUAAUUUAAGAAAUAAAAUCCCUCUUCUGCAACAGCCUCAGUAUGAUACUGCACAUCAUCAUUCAUCCUCCCAACCAGCACUGCCCUCCAAGUGUUAUUUGAACACUGGGCCCUAACCAUAGUACAGUAAAUUCACGAAUACAAGCCGCACUGAGUAUAAGCCGCAUCUCUGGGUGUCGGCAAAUAUUUCGGGUUUUGUCCAUACACAAGCCGCACCUGAAUAUAAGCCGCUCUGUCAUUCGCAGCGAGGACCCGCAUGCAACAAAGUUGCCAAAUACUAACAGAACGGUGGCAUGGCGGGGUUUACUGGCUCAACUAAGGCUGUGCAGGCUCGGCCCGCUAGGGGCUGCUGACGGGGCCAGGUGGCCCAGCCCGGCGCUGC
Catharus ustulatus (Swainson's thrush) is the source of this 2684-nucleotide long non-coding RNA. The record is from Ensembl. NCBI's taxonomy places the organism in Eukaryota, Metazoa, Chordata, Aves, Passeriformes, Turdidae.